AUUUUCAAUUGCGAAUUUUUCGGUCUCUGGAAACACCAUGAUGAACGCAGCCACCUCGUCCAUUGGCGAUAGUGGUGAUGAUACUGCCCCACCGGCACCUGCUAGUAGUGGUUUGGAGGAAGACGAACACCCGUGGCCGUAUCUACAAAAAAUGUUUGCCUUUGUAGGGAUCAAAGAUUCAUCCUACAGAAUGAAGUGCCUCUUGUGUCUGCCUAAGAACACAAAAAUAAUGGCGUUUCAAAUUUCUCCAUCAAACCUAAAAAAAAAACCACAUUGCGCCUUCUCAGGAUAGCCUGCAGUCCUGGUGCAUGCUGAAUUGGCACUGGUCAGCCACAUUUCCUCAUGGUAUCGGCGCACGGCAUAUCUCCAACAUCUUUCCCGCAAUGCUCUCAAGCAAUUCCGUCAAUCAAGGGCCUGUAUAGCUUCAGUGACCUAACAGGAACA
Long non-coding RNA from Anguilla rostrata (American eel), 444 nucleotides. RefSeq lists it as uncharacterized. The record is from RefSeq and is a predicted model, not a curated record. NCBI's taxonomy places the organism in Eukaryota, Metazoa, Chordata, Actinopteri, Anguilliformes, Anguillidae. The transcript has 3 exons.